This 30-nucleotide non-coding RNA is filed under the name Homo sapiens (human). Lineage: Eukaryota; Metazoa; Chordata; Mammalia; Primates; Hominidae. The record is from RNAcentral.
UACUAGGAAUGAGCAGAUGGUGAUAGCCUC